CCUCCAGACGCCAGCCGGAAAGGCGGUCAUAGAACACCAGGUUCCUAAUCUGGGGGUCGCGCGUUCGAAUCGCGCCGGGAUCACCA
RNAcentral lists this transfer RNA (86 nucleotides) under Sinorhizobium medicae. Its description in RNAcentral is "tRNA-Arg". Lineage: Bacteria; Pseudomonadati; Pseudomonadota; Alphaproteobacteria; Hyphomicrobiales; Rhizobiaceae. The record is from RNAcentral.